This is a non-coding RNA of Zonotrichia albicollis (white-throated sparrow), 1768 nucleotides long. The record is from RefSeq and is a predicted model, not a curated record. Lineage: Eukaryota; Metazoa; Chordata; Aves; Passeriformes; Passerellidae.
CCACAGCAGCAGAUAGUUAUUGUUUACAUUUCGUUUCUGAGGCCUCCCAACUUCUUAGGAGAAAAGAUCCAACUAAAGGAUUUUUCAUAAAAUAUGUCCUUGACAGGUUCCCACAAGGCGCUCUGCAGGCACUGUGUGAACUAUGGGAAAGUUGUUUCCUUUCCCAAAGUCUGCACAGUGGAAUUUUUGUCUGCUAUGCUAAUUCCAAACCUCCACCUUGACACCUUCCUGUUUGCCUUCCAGUGUUUAUAUCAAGUUUCUGUUGUGGUGGGUUAUUUUAUGGGAAGAUCCUUCUUUGAUAGUGUUUAGAGAAUUUCUGCUCUUUAAAUCUCUACAGCUUCCCAUUGCACAAUGGAUUCUAAAUAAUUACACUAAAAAUAUUGUCCGCUGUUUCUGCUCGCCAUGUAUGAACUAUGAUACUGAAUUUCUUUCUCUUUUACUGUUGAAAACAAUGCAAAAGCAGAGUUUAAUUAGUGCUAGUAUCCCAAUUAAUGUAAUACAAUUAUUUUACUGAAACCUGUUCUCUUUUUUCAAGUCUUGACUGAAAAUUAAAGUGAGACAAGGUGAAUGACGCCUUGGGGCCCUGUGAUGGAGCUUUCUGCACAUGAACAUAAGCAGAUUUUAUAUCCUUAAAUUCAUUGUUUCUGUUUCCACAGGAUGGCAGCAAAGACCAUCAAAAUACUCAGCUCACUCUCCUCGGACUUAGCUGCUCUUCUGAAGCUUGUUGCACAGCUUUAAAUGUUGCACCACACGCCACUUUGUCCUGACACCUUAAAUUUUAGCUCUUGUAUUUUUCAGAUUCUGCACUGCAUUAGUAUAUAACUCUGAACUGAAUAUAGAGUGUUAGCAAGUUCUCUUCACAGUUUAGUUAGCCAAACAAUCCUUUUUCCUUUCCUGAGAACACCAUUAUAGCUUCAGGUCCAAAAAGUAUGAACAGCAGCAAAUUGAAGAGAGCAAACUGGGAGGAUGUGACUUCAUAACAUGAAGCUGUAAUUCAACAACUAACUCCAAUAUGUACAUGGACCAAUACUUAUAAAACUGUGAAAACUCUUGACCCAUGGUGCAUUUUGGGUGUAGCUACAACCAAGUUCUUGUACUGCCCAAGAUGUGUCCUUUGAAGGCCUUUUAAUAAAACCUCCUUCAUUCCUUUAACUCUGUCUAGCCUCUAUUCUAGGUAGCCUCCCAAGGCAUCAGUCCCAUCUGAACUGAAAAUUGACUAUUUUCCAACAAAACUUGAGACAUCUGUGCUCUUUCCCAAGAUUGCAGAGCUGGAAGAGGAGAAGGAGGAGCUGGAAAAACAAGUGAGCGAAGAGAAAGCGAAAUGUGAGGCCAUUGAAAGGCAAGAAACAGAACGGAGAGAAAUAGAAGAGAAGAAACACAGUGAGGAGGUUCUGUUCCUCAAACGGACAAACCAGCAGCUGAAGGCCCAACUUGAAUGCAUCAUUGCAGCAAAGAAUUAAUUGUUUUGUUGUCCUCAAGGCAGGCUCAGAAGAGCUGUCAGAGCAAGAAGCUUGCAAUUAGUGACAAAGAUUUGUCUUCCUAAAAUGAUCUUGAGUUUUCACUUACCAGUAACAGCAGGCAGUGUAACUGUGUUCUUUCUUUCUCUCUUGAAGAGUUGAAAUUCAAGAGCUUUUAUUAAUUAUUGCUCCCUCCUUCAGAGCCAUCUCAGCAGUCAGCUCUUUGAACAGUGAACUUGUCUGGAACUUGCCUGUUGGUAAUGUGCUAAUGACCUUCAAAGCAAUAACUAAUAAAUAUUUUUAAAUGCAAA